GAUGAACGCUGGCGGCGUGCCUAAUACAUGCAAGUCGAGCGAACAGAUGAGGAGCUUGCUCCUCUGACGUUAGCGGCGGACGGGUGAGUAACACGUGGAUAACCUACCUAUAAGACUGGGAUAACUUCGGGAAACCGGAGCUAAUACCGGAUAAUAUAUUGAACCGCAUGGUUCAUUAGUGAAAGACGGCUUUGCGGUCACUUAUAGAUGCAUCCCCGCCGCAUUAGCUAGUUGGUAGGGUAACGGCUUACCAAGGCAACGAUGCGUAGCCGACGUGAGAGAGGGGUAGCCCGCCCUGGAGGUGGAACGGCGUCAUGGCGCCUGCGAGAGGGACCAGACGGGAAUGUGACGCAGUAGGCGAGAGCAUGACAGAGCGGGGCGACGUGAGUGGUGAAGGCGUUGGGAUCGUGAUGCUCGGUUAUGAGGGGUAAACAGAUGUGUAAGUAGCUAUGCACGUCUUGACGGUACCUGAUAAAAAAGCAACGGCUAACUACGUG
Molecule: ribosomal RNA, 497 nt
Filed under: uncultured bacterium
Lineage: Bacteria
Description: partial 16S ribosomal RNA
Rfam family: Bacterial small subunit ribosomal RNA
Source: RNAcentral